AACGCGAAGAACCUUACCUGGGUUAAAUCCCAGUUGCAAGCCUCAGAGAUGAGGCCCCCUCGCAAGAGGCGGCUGGGAAGGUGCUGCAUGGCUGUCGUCAGCUCGUGUCGUGAGAUGUUGGGUUAAGUCCCGCAACGAGCGCAACCCUUACCACUAGUUGCCAGCAUUUAGUUGGGCACUCUAGCGGAACUGCCGGUGAUAAACCGGAGGAAGGUGGGGAUGACGUCAAGUCAUCAUGGCCUCUAUGUCCAGGGCUACACACGUGCUACAAUGGCCGGUACAAACCGCUGCGAACUCGCGAGAGGGAGCCAAUCGGAAAAAGCCGGUCUCAGUUCGGAUUGGAGUCUGCAACUCGACUCCAUGAAGUUGGAAUCGCUAGUAAUCGCAGAUCAGCACGCUGCGGUGAAUACGUUCCCGGGUCUUGUACACACCG
Molecule: ribosomal RNA, 433 nt
Filed under: uncultured bacterium
Lineage: Bacteria
Description: bacterial SSU rRNA
Rfam family: Bacterial small subunit ribosomal RNA
Source: RNAcentral